Non-coding RNA from Pelobates cultripes (western spadefoot toad), 1085 nucleotides. The record is from the annotation of a GenBank genome assembly. Lineage: Eukaryota; Metazoa; Chordata; Amphibia; Anura; Pelobatidae.
ACAUGUCAAAAAUACUGCCCUUGUACAAAUGGUAAGUAGCUGAACAAACUAAGGUGUAUAUACAGGACAUUAAUACCACUACAGUUACUUAUUCAAAUGUCAAUCAACUGUUAAAGUUGAAAAUGGCAAAGAAGAGGUGCACUGAAAUGGACCAAGGUAAGGAUUAACACAUCUUAAAUCUCCAUCAAACACUGGACAUUAACAGUCUAAUGUGUUUCAUAAUGUACAUAGAUGUAAUCAUAGUCUUGUGGUGUGAAUUUGGUUUCAUAAGUUUUGUUCCAGGUGGAUAAUAAAAGGAAACCAGACCAAGUAUAGCAAACAAAUGUUAACCCUUUAUGAGCUGAUCUGUUUAAUUAUAUGACUCAUUCAAAUUAAAACCAUAAAUCAGUAUGGAAAGGUAAGUUCUGAGCACUGAGGAAAGACUUAUAUACCUACUAAAUAUGCAGAAAUGCCGCUAAUAUUUAAUGGUUGGAAUUGUCCACAUAAGGAUGGUCUGAUAUACGAUGUAUGGAAAAUCCCACACUUACAUAAUAAAUAAAGUAGAUAUGAAAAUGAGCUAAUCCCAGCUAGAUAAGUCCAGAACAAGUCUUGCCACAUCGCCAUCUUCAUAACCUGGAGUUUCUAGUUAUCCAAAUGGAGUGUGCAUUGUUAGCGCAACUGCUAAGAAAUAUUAGAACUGCAGAAAUGUAUUAUUACACAAUUUUGGAUAUUUUCCUACACUAGUUCAUACCUUGUGCACAAAAUCCACAGCUAAAAGGCCAUAUUUGUGUGAAUAAUGGUGCUAAAUUUAUCAGUUGAAAAGAGUAAAAAAAAAAAAAAUUUGAGUGUACUUUUGAAAACUGUGCAGUUUUAUAGGGGUUACUUUAAUUAGGGGGAUGCUAACCGUUCCUUAAAGAGACAGGCAUCAGCGAAACAAUCUGUCUAACUUUUAUUUAGAGAACAAAAUGGCGAUCCGACUCAGUUUGGCACUAUAAUAAAAAUGUAAAUAGCACAUUUUUCCAGCAUACUUGGUAGAAACUGUACGCCGAAAGAAAAGGGUCAAAAUAGUUCAUUACUGACCUGCUACUCAACAGAUUAAACCAGAG